GCCUGGGUGGCUCAGUCGGUUAAGCAUCUGACUUCGGCUCAGGUCAUGAUCUCACGGUUUGUGGGUUCGAGCCCCACAUCGGGCU
Molecule: transfer RNA, 85 nt
Filed under: Felis catus (domestic cat)
Lineage: Eukaryota; Metazoa; Chordata; Mammalia; Carnivora; Felidae
Rfam family: tRNA
About the family: Transfer RNA (tRNA) molecules are approximately 80 nucleotides in length. Their secondary structure includes four short double-helical elements and three loops (D, anti-codon, and T loops).
Source: Rfam by way of RNAcentral